GUCCCCGUGGCCGAACAGAGAGGCGCCCGCCUUCUAAGCGGGUCGAUGCAGGUGCGACUCCUGCCGGGGAUGCCC
RNAcentral lists this transfer RNA (75 nucleotides) under Acidobacteriota bacterium. RNAcentral's name for it is "Acidobacteria bacterium tRNA-Arg". It matches the Rfam family "tRNA". From Rfam's summary of the family: Transfer RNA (tRNA) molecules are approximately 80 nucleotides in length. Lineage: Bacteria; Pseudomonadati; Acidobacteriota. The record is from RNAcentral.